UCUUCGGAGGCAGUGGCGGACGGGUGAGUAACGCGUGGGAAUAUGCCCUUUGGUACGGAACAACUGAGGGAAACUUCAGCUAAUACCGUAUGUGCCCUUCGGGGGAAAGAUUUAUCGCCAUUGGAGUAGCCCGCGUUGGAUUAGGUAGUUGGUGGGGUAAAGGCCUACCAAGCCCACGAUCCAUAGCUGGUCUGAGAGGAUGAUCAGCCACAUUGGGACUGAGACACGGCCCAAACUCCUACGGGAGGCAGCAGUAGGGAAUCUUGCGCAAUGGGCGAAAGCCUGACGCAGCCAUGCCGCGUGAAUGAUGAAGGUCUUAGGAUUGUAAAAUUCUUUCACCGGGGAAGAUAAUGACGGUACCCGGAGAAGAAGCCCCGGCUAACUUCGUGCCAGCAGCCGCGGUAAUACGAAGGGGGCUAGCGUUGCUCGGAAUUACUGGGCGUAAAGGGCGCGUAGGCGGAUAGUUUAGUCAGAGGUGAAAGCCCAGGGCUCAACCUUGGAACUGCCUUUGAUACUGGCUAUCUUGAGUUCGGGAGAGGUGAGUGGAAUGCCGAGUGUAGAGGUGAAAUUCGUAGAUAUUCGGCGGAACACCAGUGGCGAAGGCGACUCACUGGCCCGAUACUGACGCUGAGGCGC
This 636-nucleotide ribosomal RNA is filed under the name uncultured bacterium. RNAcentral describes it as "bacterial SSU rRNA". It matches the Rfam family "Bacterial small subunit ribosomal RNA", at positions 83 to 754 of the family's 1533-position model. The record is from RNAcentral.